Carcharodon carcharias (great white shark) is the source of this 842-nucleotide long non-coding RNA. RefSeq lists it as uncharacterized. NCBI's taxonomy places the organism in Eukaryota, Metazoa, Chordata, Chondrichthyes, Lamniformes, Lamnidae. The transcript has 2 exons. The record is from RefSeq and is a predicted model, not a curated record.
ACAUCAUGCUGUCAGUGUUAAUGAUUCUCUACCAAGUCAGCUCGUGUUUGGGAAGUGCAAGUAUGCUUUGUCUCUCCAAACUGGAGCGAUUUCCUUCGACUUCGAUGGAUAGCGUGUGAAUGCUCCGUCAGACUAAUUGCAUCAUGGUGAAUUACGAGUGAUAGCAUGAUGGGUCGCGAAACAAACAUCUUUACAGAUCUUCGGGUAUGAAGUUCUCCAAAAAAGGAGAGGUUUGCUGAUCUUAUUUGAAUACGUGGAGUAUGCCUUCCAGUAUUUCAACAACGAUUUCCGGUGUUUCAGUCUCAGCCGAACCCAUGUUUGAAUAAGACAAUGUUGAAAAUUCUCUACCAGAAUCCCCUUAUCAGAAAAUAAACUCUACAUGAUUUUUGUGUAAGGUGAUUUCUCUUUACGUUUAUAGAACGUACAAAAUAAAAUGUGUUCCACAAAUCAAAAGGCAAGCUGUCCAUCGCAAUUCAGGGCAAUUCGUAUUGCAAUCGCUCCACCUCCUGAAGAAAACGGGGCCAAAGAAUUUCGUUCGCAUAUUUCACCAUAAAUCCUUAUAGAGAAUGAAAGAAAUGCAACUUGAACCAAUUACCUAACGUUCCAACAACCGCGGUCUGUCAGCACGCCAUGACACAAAAGACUAAACUCAUACGAAAUAUCUUCCAGCCCAUUACAAAGUCAUUUCUCAAACUACUGCCUUGAGUCAAAAUUAUUUCCCUAAAGAAACAUCUCCAUUAGUACCACCUUUAUUAAAUAAAUUUACCAGCAUUAUCUUAAGUUUUUUCAGUCGUUUUUAAGCUUAACUCUACAAUAAAAAUAUGUAAAGUUUUUUUAUAAAA